UACGGGGGGGGCAAGCGUUGUUCGGAAUUACUGGGCGUAAAGGGCUCGUAGGCGGCCAACUAAGUCAGACGUGAAAUCCCUCGGCUUAACCGGGGAACUGCGUCUGAUACUGGAUGGCUUGAGUUCGGGAGAGGGAUGCGGAAUUCCAGGUGUAGCGGUGAAAUGCGUAGAUAUCUGGAGGAACACCGGUGGCGAAGGCGGCAUCCUGGACCGGCAUUGACGCUGAGGCGCGAAAGCUAGGGGAGCAAACGGG
RNAcentral lists this ribosomal RNA (253 nucleotides) under uncultured bacterium. Its description in RNAcentral is "partial 16S ribosomal RNA". It matches the Rfam family "Bacterial small subunit ribosomal RNA", at positions 524 to 776 of the family's 1533-position model. The record is from RNAcentral.